This 504-nucleotide ribosomal RNA is filed under the name uncultured marine eukaryote. RNAcentral describes it as "bacterial SSU rRNA". It matches the Rfam family "Eukaryotic small subunit ribosomal RNA", at positions 619 to 1121 of the family's 1831-position model. The record is from RNAcentral.
UUAAAAAGCUCGUAGUUGGAUUUCUGCGGGGGCGGGGCGGCCGGUUGCUUAUAGCAACUCGAGCUAGCACUUCCCCUGCAUCCUGCCGCGAACCGUGCUACCAUUAGUUUGGUGGCGCCGGGGAUCGGCUCGUUUACUUUGAGAAAAAUAGAGUGUUCAAAGCAGGCCACACGCCUUGAAUAAGUUAGCAUGGAAUAAUGAUAAAGGACUUCGGUUCUAUUUUGUUGGUGUUCGGGACUGAAGUAAUGAUUGAUAGGGACAGUUGGGGCGGUCCGUAUUCCAAAGCGAGAGGUGAAAUUCUUAGACCUUCGGAAGACGAACAGCUGCGAAAGCGUUCCGCAAGGAUGUUCCCUUUGAUCAAGAACGAAAGUUGGGGGAUCGAAGACGAUCAGAUACCGUCGUAGUCUCAACUAUAAACUAUACCAGCUAGGGAUCGGCCAACGUUUAAUUAUACCGACUUGGUCGGCACCUUAUGAGAAAUCAAAGCAUCUGGGUUCCGGGGGG